This 580-nucleotide long non-coding RNA is filed under the name Astyanax mexicanus (Mexican tetra). RNAcentral describes it as "lncRNA (ENSAMXG00005009834.1)". The record is from RNAcentral. Lineage: Eukaryota; Metazoa; Chordata; Actinopteri; Characiformes; Acestrorhamphidae.
CCACACUUCACUUCCCAAUUCUUCAGGCUCCAGUCAUGAGCUGUAACACACCUACGAUAAAAUCACAAAGUUCGAAAGGAAAAAGAAGACAGAAUUCAGCAAGAAGUUAAAAUUAAAGUAUAGUCUUCAAGGCCUGAAGAUGUGGAUCAGAGAAGAAAGCAGCGUACGGCUCUUUUCUCAACAAAACCAGACGCUAAAUGAACCACGAAGCUACUUUCGUCCCUCUCACCAUGUCCGUCACUCUGGGAGACACAUCCACAACCACACUUGGCCGAGCAGCUCACAAGCCUGGCCUCAGGAGAACACGGCACCAUCCUGUUACUUCACCUUCGUCAGUAGAGCUGUGCUGUGGAACAGAGGACUCCACCAACACAAGGUUCCCGUCAUUCCUCCCGGUCUCCCCAGCAACAGUCCCCAAGGAGCUGGUGGGUUGGGACUUUGAGGACAUUGCUAAAGACCCAGGAGCCAAUGGAGUGCUGACUACAGCCCACAGAAACUAUAACAGACAGGUGGGCAAACACUACUCUCCAUAGCGUGAGUUAUGAUACAGUUUGGUGGACUACUGUAGAGCCAGCUGCAA